CAGACAGCACAUGUUGGAGGUUUUGGUAAUAAAGUCAGGGAGGCCAGACUGAGAUGGUCCGGAUGUGUCCAGAGGACAGACGGGAAGCCCUUGAACCUGAACUCUGUGUGGUCAUCGUGAGCACGGUUGUGAUUCCCAACCCCACUCUGGCUGGAGCCGCAUCCAUGUUGAUCCAGAACGACACCCAGGACAGGAUCACAGUGAGUAGGCUCGUGAGAUUCGUGUCCACAGAGAUAGCCCACCUGCAGCUGUGAGUGUGAUGUGAUGAGGAACAUCAACACCUUGCUGGUAA
Oryzias latipes (Japanese medaka) is the source of this 292-nucleotide non-coding RNA. The record is from RefSeq and is a predicted model, not a curated record. Lineage: Eukaryota; Metazoa; Chordata; Actinopteri; Beloniformes; Adrianichthyidae.